UUUAGUUCUUUCUCAAUUUUCAGCAAAAACAAACGCGGCAAACUUUCCUCCCCCUUUUCCCCCCGAAUCCCUCCCCCUUUUAUUUUCAUUUUGGCUUUCACCUUCUCCAAUUCAUUCAACCCUUCGACUCGUGCUUUGAGUUACGAGGUUCAAAUGAGCGACAACCUUAUCUUCCAGUGCUGCGGUUAUGGCUUGAAAUUGUUCUAAAUAAAGAUAGUGUGGUUCAUCCACAUCAGUAUUUAUAGCUCCAUUUCAGUUCUAAUCAAUGGUCCCAUGUCUUAUUCGGUAUAUUUAUGCCUUUUGGAAUUGGGAUAGAUGUAGAUUUUGGCAUCUGCUUUGUCUAUAUUUUUUGCGGUGUAAUGCUCUUAAAGAAUAGGUUAUUUCUGGCAUUGCGGAUGCAAGUCUCUCUUUGGCUGUGUUACUUUGAUUCCGACAUCUCACUCCUAGGAGGAAACCCAAGGAAGAAGGCUAUUGUUUCUGUUCUAACACUAUCCAUUACUGAUUGCAUCACUUUUUCCCUUAUGAUGGUCCAAUAUUUCUUGCACCCUAUAAUUAUGAUUAUGGCAUGACUGUCAUACAUGUUUCUAGUAGAGUUGUACCUGCUGUGUAAUUCCAAACGCACAACCAGUUAAGUUUAUUUGAGGAUUCUUGAUUUUGUCAAUGAAUUGGAAAAGCUAUGAAGGAGAUUAACAUUGAUGGAACCAUGUCAUAUAGUGAAUUGUAUGUUUCGUUUCCUCUACUUUGUUUUACAGCCUUCACAUUCUUGCUAUUAUUUAUACUUGUUGAUCUUAUAGUGUUAUAUUUUGGAAGAAGAGGACGAGGCAAGUCUACAAGUCAUGCUAAGUAACUUAAUCUUUCAUGAAAAAAAGUAAAUAUCUUGGAUGUAUGUACAAAAGAGUCUAUUUACUUGAAUCAAUCUUUGUAUUGUAUUUGAUUUUGACUAUAAUAUUGUAUUUUUGGGAAUAUUUAGUAGGUUUUGGUGCAGCAACUUUGUUUGGGAAAGUAUUCAGCUUUGAUGUGGUUUUUUGAAAGAUUUAUGUAACGACCCGACCGGUCGUUUUGAGCUCUAGCGCGUCAUUCAGCAGUUUGAGACCAUGAG
Molecule: non-coding RNA, 1099 nt
Organism: Nicotiana tabacum (common tobacco)
Lineage: Eukaryota; Viridiplantae; Streptophyta; Magnoliopsida; Solanales; Solanaceae
Source: RefSeq, a predicted model, not a curated record